UAUCUCUGUAGAGUCUGCAUAUCAAUAAGCGGAGGAAAAGAAACUAACAAGGAUUCCCUUAGUAACGGCGAGUGAAGCGGGAAGAGCUCAAAUUUGAAAUCUUCAAGGUUCUACCUUGACGAAUUGUAGUUUAUAAGAAGUGUUUUCUGUUAGAUGAGUAGCAAAAGUUCCUUGGAAUGGGACAUCAUAGAGGGUGAGAAUCCCGUAUUUGGUUAUUCAUUCUAGCUUUGUGAUACACUUUCAAAGAGUCGGAUUGUUUGGGAAUGCAGUCCAAAAUGGGUGGUAAAUUUCAUCUAAAGCUAAAUAUUGGCGAGAGACCGAUAGCGAACAAGUACCGUGAGGGAAAGAUGAAAAGAACUUUGAAAAGAGAGUUAAACAGUACGUGAAAUUGUCAAAAGGGAAGCGUUUGACACCAGUGUUGUUUAGUUGAAAAUCAAUUCAAUAGUUUUUGAUUCUAAGUAGUAUUGACUUCAUCAGCUUGCUGCUUUCUUCUCAGAAAUUAUUGAAUGCACUUUUCAGUUAACAAGUCAACAUCAAUUUCUUUUGUUGUAAAAGGGUAAGAGGAAGGUGGCUUGCGCUUCGGCUCAAGUGUUUAUAGCCUUUUAUCUCUGCAAUCGGAGAGAUUGAGGUCUGCAGCGUAGAUCCUUCGGGGUUAGAUACAUUGGUGCUAAGCUAUAGCCUUGUAUAGACAACUUGUUGACUAUGCUCAGUCAUGUAGCUUACUCGCUGAUGCUAUUUUACCUACGCUUAGGAUGUUGACUGAUAUGUAGUCGUA
Molecule: ribosomal RNA, 775 nt
Filed under: uncultured Neocallimastigales
Lineage: Eukaryota; Fungi; Neocallimastigomycota; Neocallimastigomycetes; Neocallimastigales
Description: partial large subunit ribosomal RNA
Rfam family: Eukaryotic large subunit ribosomal RNA
Source: RNAcentral